UGGUCAAUGGACGCAAGUCUGAACCAGCCAUGCCGCGUGAAGGAUGAAGGUCCUCUGGAUUGUAAACUUCUUUUAUCUGGGACGAAAACGGGAUUUUUAUCUCAAUUGACGGUACCAGAGGAAUAAGCACCGGCUAACUCCGUGCCAGCAGCCGCGGUAAUACGGAGGGUGCGAGCGUUAUCCGGAUUUACUGGGUUUAAAGGGUGCGUAGGUGGGCUUAUAAGUCAGUGGUGAAAUCUCCGAGCUUAACUUGGAAACUGCCGUUGAUACUAUAGGUCUUGAAUUAUCUGGAGGUAAGCGGAAUAUGUCAUGUAGCGGUGAAAUGCUUAGAUAUGACAUAGAACACCCAUUGCGAAGGCAGCUUACUACAUAUAAAUUGACGCUGAGGCACGAAAGCGUGGGGAUCAAACA
This 411-nucleotide ribosomal RNA is filed under the name uncultured bacterium. Its description in RNAcentral is "bacterial SSU rRNA". It matches the Rfam family "Bacterial small subunit ribosomal RNA", at positions 365 to 774 of the family's 1533-position model. The record is from RNAcentral.